UUCCUCUAGGUGGUUUUGGCAUCACACACCUCCACUGAUAAACCGCUGGCUGUCAAAAUCCUAAUCAAGAACCGGAAAGACUACAAAGAUGCCCUCAACGAGAGCCACAUACUGAAGGAAGUUUGUGCCAGCCCAUUCUGCAUUCGUGCAUAUGGUACCUUCCAGACAAAUAUAAGUGACUCUACCUUUUAUAAAUUUUGUGAAAGAGGUUGGUGUUAAAUGGUUAUCCUCUCAGAGUACAACUGCUGCACAUUUUUUGUUAUGGAAUACCUGAGUGGUGGAGACCUGGAGAACUUCUAAAAGGAAAGGGCACCAUUAACUAUUGAGAUGAUAAGCUGCUGCCGCCACUCAAAUCAUGAUCGUGACCGUCUACACAAGGGCUCACUCUGAUGGAUGUUUGAGGUCACAGAAAGAAGAUAUUCCAUGUUUCAGGGUCCUUUUACAUGCAUACACAAGUUUUAUCAAUGCCUGUUCCCCUGUUCCGAUGUGUAGGAUUCAUUGCUCUAGUUUUACUUGGAAAAUGCGUUCAUUGUACGGAAUAAAGGAGUAUUUGCAGAACUAGAAA
Molecule: long non-coding RNA, 565 nt
Organism: Rana temporaria (common frog)
Lineage: Eukaryota; Metazoa; Chordata; Amphibia; Anura; Ranidae
Exons: 3
Source: RefSeq, a predicted model, not a curated record